GUAAUUGCGUAAACUACACGCGCAUUCAUUGUAUGCGAUUUGUUCUUCGCCGUCGCCGCCGUCUUGGUACCCUCUUCGCGAACGCAAGAGAAACGACUACGAAAUCAAAUCAGAGAGGACAACCUCUGUCAAGCAUUACUUCCAAGCUCUCCCCCCUCCCCUCCCCUCCCCUUUGUUGACUGACUUGAGGGAGCUAAUUACAAUUCUGCGUACGAAUACGAAUUUGAUGAAUUUGAUUGGAUCCUCUUUUAUGUAGGAUGUUCUUGCCUCUUUUGGUUAUUGCUGAAAUUCUACAGGUUUUAGUGGAGUUUUAGCCUCUUUGGUAUGUUAUGGAGUUUAGCCUUCUUCUUGAUUGUGCGAAGAGCUAAGCAGGCUUUGUACCAAAAACAGGGUCUGUUUCUUAUCUCACUGAUCCAUCAAAGGUGGAGGAGGCUUCUGCUGAAGGUAACGCACAGCUGGAGGUUGUAGAGAGGUUGCUCAAGGUUUACUUGGCAUGCCCUCCCAAGACCAAAAACAUCAUGGAACUCAAGGUUCAGUUGUAGAUACCUUUAUUAAGUGGAGAGAGCACACUAUCAAAGAAUAAUAAUGGCUUAGAGCAGAGAUAAAGAGCAAAGAACGCAAAGAGUCUUUUGUUAAUUUUUCUUAAUAAUAAAC
Molecule: long non-coding RNA, 654 nt
Organism: Raphanus sativus (radish)
Lineage: Eukaryota; Viridiplantae; Streptophyta; Magnoliopsida; Brassicales; Brassicaceae
Exons: 3
Source: RefSeq, a predicted model, not a curated record